Molecule: long non-coding RNA, 5809 nt
Filed under: Sus scrofa (pig)
Lineage: Eukaryota; Metazoa; Chordata; Mammalia; Artiodactyla; Suidae
Description: lncRNA (ENSSSCG00000054761.1, ENSSSCG00105020054.1, ENSSSCG00160018850.1, ENSSSCG00175003261.1)
Source: RNAcentral
CAUGGUCUAAAUAUGGGAAGUAGUAUUGUUGAAUUAAUGCAAAAUCUGUAAAAUAUAUUCUUGGGAAAUAUCAAAAGUACAUCUUAGGGAAGUUUGUUUUAUUCAUUAUGUCAUUGUUAUCCCCACAUAAAUCUUUCCACCAUUAGAUUGUGAUAUAUCCUGAGUCAUUUUCCAGAGAACUAUUUAAGAUAAUGCUAAUAAAUUUGUGAUUUAGGGUUUGUCAAUAGAUUCCUAGCUAACAUAGCACUUACGUGUUACCUGUUCCAAAGAAUCAGGAUAAAAACAAAAUGGAAUGAAAAUAUCUAUUUCAUUGAUUACUACUAGAUACUGAAUAUCAGAAAUUACAUCUCAUGAAAUUGAGACUCUUUUGCUGGGGGUUGUUUAAUGACUUUGGGUACAGUAGCAAAUUUACAUUGUUCCCCUCCCAAGUAAAUCUCUAAAUAAAUUACUCAAGUUCAUUCAAAUAGUAAGAGUCAGUUCUAAGAUUCUAACUUAAGUAUUACAUAUUCCUAAAUUUCUUAUAGCCUGAAGAUUAUAGCACAAAAAUAUUAUGCUUAACUCAAAGUAUCUUUCUUGGCCCGAGAUGUACCAAAAUAAGAUUUGUCUGCAUAUAGUUGUUAUGUUUAUAGCUAAAAUGGCUUUGUUAUGGUUCAAUAUCAUGCUAUCUAAGUCUGGAAGAUGUAAAUCCAGUUUUGCAAAGCAGAAAUAGUAUUUCUUAGAAUAAGUAUGGAAAUAUGAUAGUGGUAUGAAGAAAGGAGAGAGAAGGAAUUAGGAUUAGAUUUGCACAGGACUUUAAUUCCAUGCAUAGCAAGAUAAAAUUUCUGUUUGGAUUUUGUUGACUGGUAUAUCAAUCUCAUACUAUUUCUAUGUAAUCACAGUUACCAUUGUUUAAAUGUUUAGUAGAGCAUUUCCAUAAAUGGUAACAACACUCUUUCAAACCUUCUCCCCUAUUAUUCUGGAUUAUUGUGUAACAUGCUGAACCUAAGACCUGAUCAAGCCAAAGCAGAGCCAGUGCUGGGAUCAUAUGACAUCUACCUAUAUUUAUGAGUGCUAGUUAAAUUCUAAACAUUGCCUAAAGUUGGCAUUCUUUCAAGUCAUUAACAUCAGGCCUGUUUGUCCAAUGUGGGAGAAAGGACUGUCAGAGCCUGUGUUAUUUCAUUCUUUACUAAUGAGGGAUUAUGUACCAAUAGGGAAAUGCUGCAUUAUUCAUGUUUUUAGAUUAUUCUCUGAACAAUUUACUACAAUUACUUUUCCAUAAGCCAAAGCCACCUAUAAAUCAAAUAUAGUUUUAGCUAUUAACACUUCAUUUUUACCUCUCAUGCAAAAGAAUAUAUGUGAGAAGUCAGAAGACCUCUUACUCCUUUAUCAUUGAUACAGUCCAGCUUCUUGUCACUCUGCUCUCCCCUCAAAGCAUUAUCUUUGUGUUUUUUUGAAGAUUAUUUGCAAACCUACCAGCAAUGACUCUCUCGAAUCAUCUGAAAAUUUCCUCCCUCAUAAAAAAUGAACUGAGGUGACUAAAUCCUGCUAACCCUCAAAUAUCUGAUUUUUUUUUUUAAUUCAGAGAUUAUAUGUUAGAUCUUGAAAGGCUGCUAGAGGGCAGGGAGAAUAAUAUAUCAUUUUGCAAAUGAGAAAUAUGAAGCAUUCUUGGGUAACUAGUACUAUAUAAUAGAAAGUGUGGCCAAGCUGUCCUUCUUAAUUAUGUUUUAGAAAAUGAUCUGAUCACAUGUGCUGCAAAGACUGAAUGGAUUAAGGUUUUUUGAGGCAAAACAAACAAAAAUAAUGAAUUCUAUUUAAAAUAUGAAUAAAGCAAUAUAAAAAAGGGAAAGAAAGGCAUUUAAGGAGAGAAAUGACAUGGGGGUAUAAAGUGUAAAGUCACUGGUUUCGGAGUGUGUCUGUUCUGCCAAUUACCACAUUCAUAAAACUUCAAAUAACUAACUUUACUUCUUUUUGCCUCAGUUUUCUCAUUUAUAAAAUGUUGGAACACUAAUUAACACUUAAAAAGUGCUUAAAAUAUGACCUAGCAGAGAAAUGCUUGAUAAAUUAUGUUACUACCACUACAAUUAUUAAUUAAGUAAAGGAAUCUGCUUAUAUCAAAGAAGGAAGAAAGUAAGGAUGGUUUAUCAUAGGCAGUAUACAUGAUCAAUUGUAUGUACGACCAAUACAUACCAAUAUUGUAUGACCAAUCCAAUCAUUUCCAACUAAUUUCUCUAUUGAGGCCCUCCUUCACAGAGGCUGCAAAAUUUAAAGAGCCACCUUUGCAGCAUGCCAUGGCUAUGGGACAAAAUUUGGCCGAUAAGUUAUAAGCAGAAAGCUGACAAGAGUUUCUGGAAAACCUUUUGCUGACUUUAAGCUGUUUAAAUAAACCAUUCCUGAACUCAGAAUAUUUUGAACUUCUCACAUCCUUAUUUCCUAUAGCAGUUGUAAAACCCUUAUAAGAGAAGACAUUGAAAGCACAACUUGCAUUUUAGGACUAUUAACACACAUGACAGCAGAGAAUUAAACAAACUAAACAAAGUUGUGUUUCUCUGUCCUCAGGGUCAUGAUAAUUCAGUUAAUAAAUCUGUUGUUGUUGUUGUUUAAAGCAAAACAAGCUUUUGCCUCUAACGUGCAUACUUUAGAGUAAUAUUUAAGUCUUCAAAAUCAUGAGAAGAUAUUAAACUCAGGUUCUGAUUUUUCAAAUUUAGUUUCUGGAAACACAUGAAGGUAUACAAAGAAUUCUUUAGAAACCUGAAACAUUGUUAAUUUGCUGUCUCAAAUUUCACUUGGAGCUAUGUUUUGAAAAAUGGAAAAGCAAUAUUUAUAUGUCACUUUCAUCUUUUAAGACCCUUAUGGAUACAGUACCAGAUAAAUGAUGACUUACUUUGGUAGAUUUAUGAUAAAAUGAAAAUAAACAUGGAGUUCCCCUCAUGGCACAGCGGAAACAAAUCUGACUAGGAACCAUGAGGUUACAGGUUCAAUCCCUGGCCUUGCUCAUAAAGAUCUAAGGGAUGAACCGGUUAAUUACAUCUUUACUGAAUAUUUUGAUAAUAAAGUCAAUAGUAAAGCCAACAAUAAAAAGUGGCAAAGCCACAAAUCAUGCUCAACAGGCAAAGUCUAAGAGCCAGGGACUUAAUCACAAAAAGACCACAUAUGAGAGUAAAUCAGGAUACAAAGUGAAAAGUGUUCAAUCUUGACAAAGGAAAGCAGAGAAAGAGGUUUGGGUCCAAAUGGUAGAAAGGGGUCAACUCUCACUUGCUAUCCAAAACACUGGGCAGAUCUAAAGACCAGCAAAGUUAUGGCCAAUGUGUGAGUCAAGCUAGGUAAAUGAACUAUGGAAGGGCAAUACCCACUGUUUUCACCUUGAACACUGUUCUUUUUAUUCUCUGAAUAUACAGAGAAUACUGUAUUCAUCUCUUUGCUUUUCCUUCUCCAUGCUCAAAAAUGCCUUUCUCUCUGAUCUCAUCCAAACCCAUUGAUUUUUGAAGAUAUAUUUUUUUCCAGAUAGGAAACAGCUUUAUUGUAAAACUGCGGACUGCACCGCAUGCUUAAGAAUUUGCUAUAAUAUGUUGUGAGUAUAUGUGUAUGUGAGUUUAUAUAUGUAUAAGUAAUUUAUACUAUCAAAUUACUUAUAUUUAUAAUCACAUUUUAGCUCCUCAUUGCUUAUAAUAUGAAUAUGUCACAAUAUUCAUUUUCAGUGUAUAUUCAACAGGUGUUUAUAGAAGUAAAUUAGUUGAAUUUAUUUGUAAGCCCAAACAAAUAAAUGAGAUUUCACAGCAUUGUUUUUAUACCAUCAACAUAGUACCAUUUUUUAAUUGUCUUUAAUAUAUGGUAAAAAAAUGUGAGAACAGAAAUAAAAGAUGUCAAAGAAAAAAAAAAUGGGAAGUUUUAUAAGUACUAAAUUUCAAUUCAGAAUAAAGUCUUAAAUGUUAGAUCUGAAACUAUAAAACUUCUAGAAGAAAACAUAAGGAGGAAGAUCUUUGACAUUAGUCUUAGUAAUAUCUUUUUAGAUGUAUCUCAUCAGGUAAGGGAGAUAAAAGCAAAAAUAAACAAAUGGGACUGUAUAAAACUAAAAGCUUUUGGACAGCAAAGAAAACUAGAGCAAAACAAAAAGGAUACCUACUUAAUGGGAAAAGAUUUGCAAACUAUAUAUAUGAUAAUGGCUUAGUAUACUAAAUACACAAAGAACUUAUACCUCAACAACGAAAAAUCAAAUGAUGCUAUAAAAAAUGGCAGAGAAAAAAAAAUGGCAGAGGAUCUAAAUAGACAUUUUUCCAAAGAAGACAUCUAGAUGUUCAACAGGCAUAUGAAAAGAUACUCAACAGCACAAAUUAUCAGGGAAAUGCAAAUCAAUACCACAAUAAGCUACUACCUCACACCUGUCAGAAUGGGUAUUAUCAAAAAGGCAACAAAUAGCCAGUGUUGGCAAGGAUAUGAAGAAAGGGAACCCUUAUGCACUAUUGUUGGAAAUGUAAAUUGGUGCCACCAUUUUGGAAAACAAUAGAGAAAUCCCUCAAAAAAAAUUAAAGGUAGAAAAAUCGUAUGAUCCAGUAAUUCUACUCCUGGAUAUUUAAUCAAAGAAAACAAAAACAACAAUUAGAAAAGAUAUGUCUAUCCCUACAGUCACUGCAGCAUUAUUUAUAAUAGCCAAGAUAAGGAAGCAACCCAAGUAUCCACCGAUAGAUGAAUGGAUAAAGAUGCGAUAUAUUUAUAGAAUGGAAUAUUAGCCAUAAAAAGAAGGAAAGCUUAUCAUCGUGACAAUAUGAACACAAGCUGGUGUUAUGCUAUGUGAAAUAAGUCAGAGAAAGACAAAUAUUGUAUGAUUUUACUUACACAUGGAAUCUAAAAAAUGAAACAAAUGAACAAACAUAACAAAGGCAAAACAGAGAUAUAGAUACAGAGAACAAAUAGGUGGUUGCCAGAGGGAAAAGGGGUAGGGAGAGGGAAGAAAUAUGCCAAGGAGGUUAACAGGUCAAAACUCCAGUUGCAAAAUAAAUAAAUCAUGGGUAUGAAAUGUUUCAUUUGGGGAACAUAGGCAACAACCAUGUCAUAUCUUUGUAUGUAACAUAUGGUAAACAGACUUAUUUUGGUGAUCAUUAUGAAAUGUACAGAAACACAAAAUUAUAAUGUAACAGGAACUAACAUAGUGUUGUGGGUCAAUUAUACUUUAAAAACAAACAAACAUAUAGAAAGAGAUCAGAUUCGUGCUAACCAGAGGCUGGAGGUUGGGGCAGAGGGAAUUGGAUGAAGGUAGUUGAAAGGUUACAAACUUCCAGUUAUGAGAUAAAUUAGUACUUGCAUAUAAUCACGAUGUGAUUGUACAAUGUGACAAAUAUAAUUAAUAUUGCUUUAUGUUAUAUAUAAAAGAUAGGAGAGUAAAUCCUGAAAGUUCUCAUCACAAGAAAAAAAAACUUUUCUAUUUCUAUAAUGUAUUUAUAUCAGCUGAUGGAUAUAAAAUUAUUGCGAUAAUCAUUUCAAGAUGUUGAUAUGCCAAGUUUUUAUGCUGUACAUGCUAUACAUGUUGCAUGUUAUACAGUGUUGUAUGUUAGUUAUAGCUCUAUAAAACUGGAAGAAAAAAAUAGGAAAAUUGAAAUAAAAGGUAUUAAAGAAAGAAACAGGAACUCCCUUCACAGCUCAGCAGUUAAUGAACCUGAGUAGGAUCCAUGAGGAUGAGGGUUCAAUCCCUGGCCUAAGUCAGUGGGUUAAGGAUCUGGCAUUGCCAUAAGCUGUGGUGUAGGCUGCAGACACAGCUCAGACCCCAUGGUGCUGUAGCUGUGGAGUAGGCUGGCAGCUGUAGCUCUGAUUCAACCCCUAGCCUGGGAACUUCCAUGUG